UUGAAAAUAAAAGCAUCCAGUUACUUUAUUGUAGUAGUAAAUCAAUUCAAUUCUUCAUAUUAAUAUAGAACUUUUUACAAUGUAGAUUGUGUCAAAGCAGCGUAACAUAAAGUUCUUGUAAGCUUUAGUUGGGUUCAGUGUAAUGUAAAUUUCACUGCUGUAAGCCGAAACACUGAACACUGAAGAACAACUCCACCAAAGCACAAGUAAUAAUAACUAUACCUUAGUUAUACCUUAAUAUUAAUAACUAUGUGUGUAAAAAAGUUCAUUCUUAAGUUUUACUUUUGUAACAACUACAAAACCUGUUGAUGUAAUACAUUUCGUCAUCGUUUUCCUAUUCCAGAGCCGUUCAGAAGGACUGUACAACUCUGGCCUUGGGUGAAGUGUGUCGAGGCUAUAUGAGAGCGAGAGAGACUAACGGAAUAAAGUGAAACAGCCUCUUGAAGGGCUCUGCUUCUUUUUACAGACAGAUGGAGCAGAAAGUGAGAGAGAGGACACCUGCUGGUCCACAACGCUGCCCCCCCUCAUGCUUCUCCUUUUUCUACCUCUUUCUCUGACUCCAGCAUUAGAAUUCAGCAUCUCUUCUGCCUCGUCUGAGUGAGUGGGUUACUGAAGCGUGUCACAGUAAGAACCAGUGAAUGAUAAUGAACCGAACGUGUGCGAGAGGGAGGGGAAGAGGGAGGAGAUCCGAGAGGAUUCCUGUAAGCUGGCUCUCUUCUUGAAACGUGGACAGGGAAAGAAAGUGAGCAAGCGAGUGAGAGGACAAACGAGGUUGUCGACUGAAUCACCACCACCUCCACCACUUCACCACUCCUUUCUCGUGGCACGGGGGAGUGAGUGUGGGACGGGACGCCCCGCACUGUUCCCUCUCCCUCAUACCCGUCCUCCACCAACAGACCCACUACUCCGAAUGAAUUCAUUCAUCUUCUUCCAUCCUUUUGUCAUUUUCCUGUCAACCUCCCUCCGCUUUAUUAUUAUUAUUUAAUUUCUCUCCUUCUCUCCCCUCCCUUGUUCUCUUUUCGGAGUUCUCCCACACAUUGCUAUCCCACUCGUUUUGUCAUGACCAAGGAAGAGAAAAUGAUCGGCCGGCGAGCAAUGAGAACCAAAAAGGAACGGCGGUACGAAGAGAGCUCUGUCCGGAUGUGGAGUUCAGGACUGCAAGUAGCCGGUCCUCUCCAGGUGGAUUAUCCAAAGCAGAGAAUUUUUGAAUCCCACAGCGAAAAGAAAAGAGCCGUACUGAAAUCCUGAGGGGGGACGAAUGUUCUUGCACUUUCCUUGUAUUCAGAUAGUUCUCAACUUGUUCUGCAUUGUUUAAUUCGAUCUCUUGUUUCUUGCUUGUGUCUCCAAGCCCCCCUUUCCUCUCUCUUGUCUUCGAUUUGGGACAUUUUGGCUGCUCAUUGUGAAGAAUUCUCGGGACUGUGCUCUGAAUAGCACUUUUCAGUCUAAUUAAUUCCUUUCUGAGCCAAGAUUCGAAAAGAAGCCUUUUUUCCUCACUCGGCCUCCCUCCUUUUGAGACCAAAAUAAUUGGAGCUGUGGAUUCCACUGUAGCCGUGCCACAGGACCAAGUUGGACCAAUCUGGACACAACACCUGGUGCAUUGUUUGCAAGAGAAGCCAUUUUUCCCGUUUUCCAAAUCACUUUAUUAUCUCUCCGAGGGGGCGCAACCACCCAAGCCUUGGGCCUUAGUAAUCUGGAUAUGUUGAAGUGAAGAAAUGGAGACCUCCAAGGAGAUGAAAGUGAAAACAAUGUUUCUGAGCCCUAAUCUGAGAACUAGAUGAACUUAUCCUGAAAGGAACAAGCAGAAUGAAGGACAGAACUGAUUUGGAGACCCUUACAACCUUGUGAAUCUUCAAAUGAUACACAAAAUUAGCUGAAUCUCCCUGUCCUUCUACAUUUUGUGUCCUAACUAGAAAACAUGAAAAAACGAAACCAGCAUACCAGGAAUUGGUCUUUUGCGCUCAUUCCAAGGCACUGAAAAAACUUGGGCAAGUCUGGGAACCCUUCGUUGGGCUGUAUUGUACUUUUUCCCCAGCCUUUUCAUUGCACCCCCCAUUUUUUUCUACGUUAAGUCAUUCACAGGGGCACUUUCUCUCCCCCUCCUCCUUUCGGUAGCUGAAAGCCGCUGAUCGCUAAUCCACGGCUGUUUCAUCAGAUUCUCGUGCUGAUUUCUACAUUGAUUGGCCGUCUACUUCAGAACCUCUCCGGCUCCCUCCUCUUGCUCUUUCACUCUCCUUCAUCCACUUCUCACUCUCUCAUCCCCCUCCCUCCUUCUCUCUCUCUCUCUCUCUCUCUCUCUCACCCUGCCUCAUUGUCUCUGUGUGCGGCAACAGUGCUGCUGGAAGCCAGUCCUUUUCACUGCUCGCCAGACAGAGGAAGGCAGAGGUUUCAUAAAUCGGUGGAGAUCCAGAGAUAGCUAGACUAUGCCUCAGUUCACCUUUGCCUGCUUCUGUGGCCUUCAUGGCCUCUGUGGAAGGAAAAAGAAGAAAAAGGAGGAAGAGGAACGACCACAGCAGGACUAUGAGACUGAGGUUUGAGACGAUGCCUGGACUGGGAAGAAUCGCACGGUUUUAGUAGCUUACAAAGGGGAAAAGAUGCAAGACGUGACCUCAGUAUUGGCUCAGAUCUCAGGGCUGAGCAAUAGAGGCCAUAUCAGGACCCUGUUCAUGAUUUUAAUGUACUUACCUAUAAGACGAUCGGUUUGUUUUUGUUACACUUUCAAUCCGAGGUGCAGGGAAGUACUGGUGCACUUUAAAAAUGUACUUUCACAUUUAGCAGUCCCAAAACAUAUUUCAACCCUUUUAAAGUGUCUGAAUGCCAUUAGAAAACAUAUAUCAAGUGGCAUUUAUUAAAAAAAAAAAACUAUAUAUUAAGUGGCCUUAGCUAAUAUGUACUUACACUGAAAUUACUAAUUUGUUACAAUGUAGUUAUUGUGUAAAUACAUGUUUUUACAUUGUACUUAUGCUUAAUUAAAUAUCUGUUGAGCAUCCCUUAAACCUUAACCCAACCUUAAACCUACCCAUACCGCAAAACCUGUCCCUAAUCCAACAUGUACCCUCCUCAAGAGCACCGGAAGUGUUCUGCAAUACAUUAUGAACACCGUAAGUACAUCGUAUUUAUAUUUUAAUGCAAGUACAAAGUAGUUAAGGCCACUUAAUAUAAAGCUGUG
Molecule: non-coding RNA, 3166 nt
Organism: Danio rerio (zebrafish)
Lineage: Eukaryota; Metazoa; Chordata; Actinopteri; Cypriniformes; Danionidae
Source: RefSeq, a predicted model, not a curated record